UCGGGAAUUUUGGGCAAUGGGCGAAAGCCUGACCCAGCAACGCCGCGUGAGGGAUGAAGGCCUUCGGGUCGUAAACCUCUGUCGGGAGGGAAGAAUGUCUUCGGGGUGAACAAUCCCGGGGGCUGACGGUACCUCUAGAGGAAGCGCCGGCUAACUCCGUGCCAGCAGCCGCGGUAAUACGGAGGGCGCUAGCGUUGUUCGGAAUCAUUGGGCGUAAAGCGCGUGUAGGCGGCUUGGUAAGUCGAGUGUGAAAUCCCGGGGCUCAACCCCGGAAGGUCGCUCGAAACUGCCUCGCUCGAGUCCCGGAGAGGAAGGCGGAAUUCCCGGUGUAGAGGUGAAAUUCGUAGAUAUCGGGAGGAACACCAGCGGCGAAGGCGGCCUUCUGGACGGUGACUGACGCUGAGACGCGAAAGCGUGGGGAGCAAACAGG
Molecule: ribosomal RNA, 430 nt
Filed under: uncultured delta proteobacterium
Lineage: Bacteria; Deltaproteobacteria
Description: bacterial SSU rRNA
Rfam family: Bacterial small subunit ribosomal RNA
Source: RNAcentral